RNAcentral lists this ribosomal RNA (253 nucleotides) under uncultured bacterium. Its description in RNAcentral is "partial 16S ribosomal RNA". It matches the Rfam family "Bacterial small subunit ribosomal RNA", at positions 524 to 776 of the family's 1533-position model. The record is from RNAcentral.
UACAGAGGUCCCAAGCGUUGUUCGGAUUCAUUGGGCGUAAAGGGUGCGUAGGUGGCAUGGUAAGUCGGAUGUGAAAUCCCGGGGCUUAACCCCGGAACUGCAUUCGAUACUGCUGAGCUAGAGUACUGGAGAGGAGAUCGGAAUUUACGGUGUAGCAGUGAAAUGCGUAGAUAUCGUAAGGAAGACCAGUGGCGAAGGCGGAUCUCUGGACAGUUACUGACACUGAGGUGCGAGAGCGUGGGGAGCGAACCGG